RNAcentral lists this ribosomal RNA (387 nucleotides) under uncultured bacterium. Its description in RNAcentral is "bacterial SSU rRNA". It matches the Rfam family "Bacterial small subunit ribosomal RNA", at positions 28 to 401 of the family's 1533-position model. The record is from RNAcentral.
GAUGAACGCUAGCGGCAGGCUUAACACAUGCAAGUCGAGGGGCAGCAUGACACGGAGAUUCGUCGAAGUGUCGAUGGCGACCGGCGCAAGGGUGCGUAACGCGUGAGCAACUUGCCCGUUUCUGGGGAAUAACCGUUGGAAACGACGACUAAUACCCCAUAGUAUCAUGAUGAGGCAUCUUAUUGUGAUUAAAGAAAUUCGGAAACGGAUAGGCUCGCGUGACAUUAGCUAGAUGGCGGGGUAACGGCCCACCAUGGCUACGAUGUCUAGGGGUUCUGAGAGGAAGGUCCCCCANACUGGAACUGAGACACGGGUCCAGACUCCUACGGGAGGCAAGCAGUGAGGAAUAUUGGUCAAUGGUCUGACGACUGAACCAGCCAUGCCGCG